RNAcentral lists this ribosomal RNA (253 nucleotides) under uncultured bacterium. RNAcentral describes it as "partial 16S ribosomal RNA". It matches the Rfam family "Bacterial small subunit ribosomal RNA", at positions 524 to 776 of the family's 1533-position model. The record is from RNAcentral.
UACAGAGGGUGCAAGCGUUAAUCGGAAUUACUGGGCGUAAAGGGUGCGUAGGUGGUUUCGUAAGUUAGGUGUGAAAGUCCCGGGCUUAACCUGGGGAUUGCGCCUAAUACUGUGAGACUAGAGUACUGUAGAGGAAAGUGGAAUUUCCGGUGUAGCGGUGAAAUGCGUAGAUAUCGGAAGGAACACCAGUGGCGAAGGCGACUUUCUGGACAGAUACUGACACUGAGGCACGAAAGCGUGGGGAGCAAACAGG